Non-coding RNA from Salmo salar (Atlantic salmon), 944 nucleotides. The record is from RefSeq and is a predicted model, not a curated record. Lineage: Eukaryota; Metazoa; Chordata; Actinopteri; Salmoniformes; Salmonidae.
UAAAUAGAACGUUUAAAUAAGGCGAUCUAAGGCGAGUGGAAAUGUCCGCUGCAGCUGGCACACGCAUAUGCCCUCCAACGAUUCUCUCCCUCUCUGUGCCCACCUCUUAGACCCGCUGUGAUCCCUCACAGACCUUCAACCUGCCCCGGGAGUCUCUAUAACAACAUGCCCACCUCGGCCCUCCUUCCCUCCCACCUCGCUACGACAGACACUGCCGCUGGCCUAUCGCACGGUGGCCGACCCCUGUGCCCUGCCCACCCCAGCGGUCCCUCUCCAGCCCCGCCAGAGCCAAUCCGCGGCGGGGUGUAAAGUAGGGCAAGCCGCUUCCUGGUUCAAGGAGGAGCUGCCUGGAGUUGGAAUGGGCCAGCGGAGUCAGAGAGGGGGGAGAACAGCCCAGCGAGCCGGCGGUCUGCAAAGAGCGAGCCGAGGCAGGGGGAUAUAAACGCCGGCAGAGAGACAAGAAGAAGCGGAUAUUACAGAAAACUCCCGGGCGAUACGUGGUUCGUCAGAGGGACUGGUGUGAGAUUUUGGACAGUGCGGAGAGAGCGGUGACCCCCGGGGAGCGACGAGGGGGGAAGAGAGGCGGGUGGGAGUGAAUCCAGGAAGUACAGAAGCCGGUCAGGUGGGACGCGACGAGAUAACAUAGGUGACACCGGCGCACAGCUUUGUAUCCCUGGAAACCUUUUGGCUCUGCUGGAGAAGAACCGAAACAGGAAGAGGUGGAAAAUAGAGAGGGAGGAAGAGAGCAGGGACCCGUCCUCCUCUGAGUUUAUGGACUGGAGCCCUAUCUCUCUCUCGACCACCGGCCUGCCAGCCUACCAACUCACACCACCCGCCUACUGCCAGGGGGGAUGGAAGAGCAAGAAGUUGCAAUACUUUACUUCCUGUAAAGACAGACACCCCUUAAAGAUGAAAAGAGUGUUAAAAGGUAGUGACAGAGAAGA